GACGAACGCUGGCGGCGUGCUUAACACAUGCAAGUCGAACGGAAAGGCCCUGCUUUUGUGGGGUGCUCGAGUGGCGAACGGGUGAGUAACACGUGAGUAACCUGCCCUUGACUUUGGGAUAACUUCAGGAAACUGGGGCUAAUACCGGAUAGGAGCUCCUGCUGCAUGGUGGGGGUUGGAAAGUUUCGGCGGUUGGGGAUGGACUGGCGGCUUAUCAGCUUGUUGGUGGGGUAGUGGCUUACCAAGGCUUUGACGGGUAGCCGGCCUGAGAGGGUGACCGGCCACAUUGGGACUGAGCUACGGCCCAGACUCCUACGGGAGGCAGCAGUGGGGAAUAUUGCACAAUGGGCGGAAGCCUGAUGCAGCAACGCCGCGUGCGGGAUGACGGCCUUCGGGUUGUAAACCGCUUUCGCCUGUGACGAAGCGUGAGUGACGGUAAUGGGUAAAGAAGCACCGGCUAACUACGUG
RNAcentral lists this ribosomal RNA (468 nucleotides) under uncultured bacterium. Its description in RNAcentral is "partial 16S ribosomal RNA". It matches the Rfam family "Bacterial small subunit ribosomal RNA", at positions 28 to 507 of the family's 1533-position model. The record is from RNAcentral.